CAAAUGUGCCACAUCACGUCGCACCAACGCCAGUGUUUGACGGAAAGACGGCACAAGAGGUCGGUGGUCAUCUCCAUCACUGUCUGUUUCUCUUGGACGCCAACAGUGUGUGAUUAAAACAGAUAUUAAUCAGGUCAUCAGCAGAACCAUUGGUUUGAUAUUUAUCAGGUAACCACGGCCCAUAAAAGGGGCUCGCGGUCGAUGGGCGGAGAGGGAGGCGCUUGGAUGGAGAAAUGACAACAUCUCUGAGACGUUCUGAGAGAAGCUCCAUUCACGAUUGACAUCUGAAGACGUUUGAAGAAACAUGGCCCCUCAAAGAAAACCCUCAAGCGUCAGUCAGCAGAUCUCUUCGUCUCCAUUAUACUUCGCUCUCUAUGUCAUUCUGGUGAUGCUGGGGAACGUGGGGAACACCACGGUCAUCGCAGUGGUCGGGGAAAGCCUUCUGCGCGAGACGGGAGCCGUCCGAAGCUCUGACGUGAUUCUGGUCAACAUGGCUUUCUCCAACCUGAUGGUGUCUUUGGUUAGAAACACAGUCGUGAUGGUGUCCGAUCUGGGA
This is a long non-coding RNA of Sinocyclocheilus anshuiensis, 556 nucleotides long. RefSeq lists it as uncharacterized. NCBI's taxonomy places the organism in Eukaryota, Metazoa, Chordata, Actinopteri, Cypriniformes, Cyprinidae. The transcript is spliced from 3 exons. The record is from RefSeq and is a predicted model, not a curated record.